GCACCAUAGAGUAAGCCUGGCUCUCUAAAGCAGAAAUGUCACUUCUGUGAGAAUGACAGUUUUUUCCAUCACCCCACUAAAUAUGAUAGAAGCACUUAUUUUGAUAAGCAGUAAGUAAAAACUACACUUAACUCCACAGCACUCUGCUUUGACCAUGCCCUACAACAGGGGUUGGCAGCCUUUGGCACUGCUGCAAAACAGUUUGCCCUAUUACUGGGAAAUUUCCUGGUG
This is a non-coding RNA of Pelobates cultripes (western spadefoot toad), 231 nucleotides long. The record is from the annotation of a GenBank genome assembly. Lineage: Eukaryota; Metazoa; Chordata; Amphibia; Anura; Pelobatidae.